Long non-coding RNA from Callithrix jacchus (white-tufted-ear marmoset), 3575 nucleotides. The record is from Ensembl. Lineage: Eukaryota; Metazoa; Chordata; Mammalia; Primates; Cebidae.
AUGGCUCCAAUGUGCAUAUGUCGUUUUUCAGCAAAAUCUAAUAUUUAUGUCAUUUUCAGGGGAAGAACAUUUGCAGCCUUUGUAAUAUAUCACUUCUCAUCGUUUUGCUCCACGGCACAGGAUGGACACAUCGCUCAGAUGAGAAAAUGGAAUCUCAGAAAAGUUAGAGAAAACAACAAAUGCCAUAGAGCUGGCAAGAGUCAAAAGAAGAACCCUAGACCAGGCUGUUCUGAUCCCUGAGCUCGGCUUCUUAGGUUCACUCUGUCCUAUGAGACGCAUCUGGGAGUUUUAACAAGUCCUCAUCAACCCUUGCCCUGACUUUAUAUGCAGAGCACUCACCUAGAGACUGAUCCAUCUGCACUUCACCUUCCCCCUCCAAAACUAGGGAUAACAUUUAUCAAGUCAUCUGGGGUUGGCAAACACAAUUCUGUCCAAAUUUAUAGAAUUAAAUUUGUGAAAAUUAUUAGUGAACAAUUCUAGAAUGACCUAGAUUUCAUUCAUGACUUCUCAAUGCUAAAGGAUCAGAAUGAAAAAGAAAACAGAUCCAUUUUCUGGCUUAUGAUUGUUAGCAUAUGAAAAAUGGAGGCAUGCUCAGCUAAAAUUAAAAAAUCAAAUAAAAAUGUUUUUGUAACACUGUUAUAGCCAAAAAAACAGACAGAAGUACCUCAGUGGAACGUGACUUGAGCUGCCACCUUUGCUUCACUCUCUUCUUUAAAGCACUUACCAUUCACCACAGUGAUUAUUUAUUUAGAUGGUUUACAAAUCUCUACCACUCUCCUGAGGUCAAGGGCUCAGUUUAUAAAUCACGUUUUGUGCAUCUCUGUGUCCUAGCCCUGAGCACAGAGCAUGGUAUGGUGCUGAGCAGCUACUCAGCCCAGCAUUGUAUUAUGGGUCCCGUCUAACUUGUCCUAUGUGGAAGCAGAAAGACAAAAGGAUCUCUUCCUUUUAAGGUUUGACAUCCCCCAGUCCUGGGAAGAAAUUGAUAUAAGUGUUGUAUAGGAGGUAUUCACCCCCUCAGACUUACACUGCCUCUCACUGACCUGGAAGAAACAAAUCUUGAAAAAAAAAAAAAAAGCCGUGUGGACAUCAGCCUUUUGCAGUGACAGAUGAUAUUGUCAGAAACUUGAUAGGUAGCCUGAGCCACCAUGAAAAAGGAUCUAUACAUAAAAUACACAAAGAAAUAAGGGAGUACACCCCAGCAACAUUGAUAGAUUCCCCCAUUUCAAACAUGCCACCCCCAGUGUAUAUACCACAAGCACAAAGACCAAAGGAGAAUUCUUAUAAAGAGGGCUGAUGAACGCUUAUUAAGGCCUUGAAUGAGACAGUGAAUCCCGAGAACCAGAGGCUAAGUCUGUUGACUAACUCAGCAGAUGCAGGAAUAUGCCCAUAGCUCAAAAACGGCCUUGAUCCUCAGUGUCAGGGAACAGAUCCUGGUUGGCCUCGAAUAUGUGAUUAACCAUGUGGGCCUAACGAUUUCUGUACCCCUCGUAAGCCUGCAGGAUGAAACCGUAGUGUUUCCUAGAGGGGAAGGGGAAAAAGAAAGAAAGAAAUCCAUAAGAUAGCUGAAUCAUUCCUUUGAAAUACACUGGGUGCUCCUUAGCCAGACAGCAAUUUCAAAAACAAGGGUGCUUUAAGAAAAGAAAACCCUCUUUGAGUUCUUUGGUAUAGAAAUUACCACUUGUUGGUAAUGAAGAGAUGAAAAUCACGCUGUUCUUUAGGUCAAAGGAAACGACUUUUGAAAUUUCCUAGCAGUGCAUAAAGCAGCUUAGUAGCUUCUCACUUCCUCAGGAGGAGGUCCUCCACCCAGUGAAUGGCUUUUAACUCUCUGCUUAACAGCAUUGCCACCCAUUCACCCCUCACUGUCCUGAAUGAUGAGCCAGGUGAAGCCUUGCCAUCAGCAUCUCCCAGACUCCUUUACAUUCCAGGAAAAUUCUCAGCUGUCCAUCAAAACCAUAUCAGACGCAUCCUGCCCACAUCUCUUAAUCCAUAUAAUUUCUUGUCUCUUGGAGUUACUGUUUAGGCUCUGAAUCCUCUGGUGGGCUCCCCUGUGAUUUAAUUGUUCCCUCUGUGCAUUUAUUUAAUCAACCCAGUGAGAUAAGAAAAUCAAUAGCUGAUAUUUACUGAAUACUUAAUAUAUUUUGAGGCAUUAAGCUAAACAUUUUACAAGCACUAUCUCAUUUAUUCCUCACAACCAACCAUGUGGUAGCACCUGCUAUUAUAUCCAUGUGACAGAUGAGGAAAACCAAGGCACAGAAAGGUUGAGUGUCUUGCUCAAGGUCACACCACCAGGAAUGAAUCCAGGCCUGUCUGACCCCAGAUCCUGUAUAUUAUGCAUCGUAAUGAUCAUAGCCUAUAAUUCUCCUGGGUCUCCCACAGUCCUUUAUACUGUUGUACAUUUCAUUCAUUCUUAGAGAAACUUUAGAAUUUCCUAAAUUUCACUCAUGACUUCACAAUGCUAUUCACUUACUCAACAUUCAUUGAGAAUUUUCCAUGUACCAGGCACUGUGCUAGUUGCUGGCACAUGGAAAUAUGAUGUGAUAUGAUGAUGAACAAGACAUAGCCCCUGCCCUCCAGGAGCUCACAGUCACAGAGUAGGGGCUCAGUUACUAUUGGAACUAAAUGACCGUAACUAUCAGCCAAUUACUGGUGUCUUAACCAGGUAUGUGUGCAGUGGCCUCUUAGCUAAAGGAAGCAUUAAGAUGUAGGAAGACUACUGGACUGACAUGCAAGAGCGCUGAGGUUUCCCUUAACUGCCAAUAACAUGCUGUAUGACAUUCAGCAAAGGAUUCCUCAUCUAUCAGCUCACGUAUAAAAUUGAGAGGCUGGGCAGCAUCGGUGAAUUCACAACUUGUCCUACCAUCAGAAUCACCUGUUCAAUGAUUUUUUUUAUUGCCAAAUAAGUAUCUGGGGUAAUGGAUUAAGGAAUGAAUGACCGACUUGGUGGAUCUGUUGUGAGAUUUGUAACAACCAAGGCAGAAGGAGGCUCUCCUCAACCAUUGCCCCUUAAUGAUGUCCAGAUGAUCUUCAUUAUUCAUGGGUUUUAUAGAGAGAAAUUUGCUUACUCACUAAAAUGUAUUUGUAACUUCAAAAUCAAUACAGUGGCACUUUCACAGUCAUUCAAAGACAUGCCCAAAGUACAUGAUUGCAGCUGAGGUCAGACAAAGAGAUGCUCUUGGGACUCAGAACAUGAUGUGGCACGUUGGAGUGCUGAGUACUUUGAACAGAAGGACAUUGGAAGGGUCAGCAAGUUCUCUCUAACCUCCUGCCCUUCUUUCUUCCACCCCUCUUGUAAAUUACAUACAUCUCAGAGCCUCAGUUUCCUCAUAUAGAAUAUAGGGGUAAUAUCUUCUUUCAACAACUGUUAUGAAGAUUAAAUGGGAUUACAUUAUUCAAGUCCUCUGAGAAGCAGAUGCCAAGUCAGAAUUAAAGUACAAGAAUGUAUUAGGUUGAGGAGUGUUGCUUAAUGAAUAAAGAUUUUUCUGUUUGGGGUGAUGAAAAGAAUUUGGCAACAGACAGUGAUGAUGGCUAUAUGACAUUGUCAGUAUAACUAAAACACUGAAUUUUGCACUUAAAAU